GCAACUGGGGCAGCCGGGAGGUAGGCGCGGGGCGGUUGGCUGCGGUGGCGGAGGUUGGAUGAUUGUCUCUCGGCGGCGGAGUCGGAUACUGUGGCGUAUGAGGACCUGUCUGAGGACUAUACUCAGAAGAAAUGGAAAGGUGUCGCACUCAGUCAGAGAGCCCUGCACUGGAACAUGAUGCUGGAAAAUGACCGUAGCAUGACUUCCUUGGCAGGUAGGAACAUGAUGGAGAGUUCAGAGCUGACUCCGAAGCAGGAAAUUUUUAAAGUAUCAGAGUCAUCUAAUAGUACAUCAGGGGGAUUCUUUGGGGUGGUUCCUGGGGAAACAGAGACUGGAGAUGUUUGUGAAGAUACCUUCGAAGAGUUAGAAGGACAACCCUCAAAUGAAGAAGGGAGCAGACUAGAAAGUGAUUUCUUGGAAAUAACAGAUGAGGAUAAGAAAAAAUCCACAAAAGACGGAUAUGAGGAAUAUAAGGAAGUUGGGGAACAUCCACAUCUGUCUUCCAGUCCUGUUGAACAUGAAGGAGUUUUAAAGGGACAGAAAUCCUAUCGAUGUGACGAAUGUGGCAAAGCUUUUUAUUGGAGUUCGCACCUCAUUGGUCAUCGGAGAAUCCACACUGGAGAGAAACCCUAUGAGUGUAAUGAGUGUGGGAAGACCUUCAGGCAAACCUCCCAGCUCAUUGUUCAUCUCAGAACCCACACAGGGGAAAAACCCUAUGAAUGCAGUGAGUGUGGAAAGGCCUAUAGGCACAGCUCCCAUCUCAUUCAACACCAGAGACUCCAUAAUGGGGAGAAACCCUAUAAAUGUAAUGAAUGUGCAAAAGCUUUUAAUCAGAGCUCCAAACUCUUCGACCACCAGAGAACCCAUACUGGGGAGAAACCUUAUGAAUGUAAGGAGUGUGGGGCAGCCUUUAGUCGGAGUAAAAAUCUUGUUCGACAUCAGGUUCUGCACACUGGUAAGAAACCUUAUAAGUGUAAUGAAUGUGGGAGAGCAUUCUGUUCCAAUAGAAAUCUCAUUGACCAUCAGAGAACCCACACUGGGGAGAAGCCUUAUAAAUGUAAUGAAUGUGGCAAAGCCUUCAGUCGGAGUAAAUGUCUUAUUCGACAUCAGAGCCUCCACACUGGGGAAAAGCCAUACAAAUGUAGUGAAUGUGGGAAAGCCUUCAAUCAGAUCUCUCAACUUGUUGAACAUGAGCGAAUUCAUACUGGAGAAAAACCAUUUAAGUGUAGUGAGUGUGGUAAGGCAUUCGGUCUGAGUAAAUGUCUUAUUCGGCACCAGAGACUUCACACAAGUGAAAAGCCCUAUAAAUGCAAUGAGUGUGGAAAA
Molecule: small RNA, 1326 nt
Filed under: Pongo abelii (Sumatran orangutan)
Lineage: Eukaryota; Metazoa; Chordata; Mammalia; Primates; Hominidae
Description: processed transcript
Source: RNAcentral